Molecule: ribosomal RNA, 1329 nt
Filed under: human gut metagenome
Description: bacterial LSU rRNA
Rfam family: Bacterial large subunit ribosomal RNA
Source: RNAcentral
GUUGGCUUAGAAGCAGCCACUCAUUUAAAGAGUGCGUAAUAGCUCACUAGUCGAGUGAUUGUGCGCCGAAAAUGUAACGGGGCUAAAAUUCAUACCGAAGCUUAGGCUUUGCACACUUUGUGUGCGAGGGGUAGAUGAGCGUUGUGUAAGUCUGCGAAGCUACACCGAAAGGAGUAGUGGAGAUAUCACAAGUGAGAAUGCCGGAAUGAGUAGCGAGAAUUAUGUGAGAAUCAUAAUGGUCGAAAAUCUAAGGUUUCUUGAGGAAGGUUCGUCCGCUCAAGGUAAGCCGGGAGCUAAGGCGAGGCCGAGAGGCGUAGUCGAUGCACAUACGGUAAAGAUUCCGUAGCCACCGAAGUCGUUAAAUACAGGGACACAGGAACAUAGCCUAACCCCACCGUUGGUUGAGUGGGGCGUAAGGGAGCGAAAAAUAGUAGCGAAGUAGGUGAUUGUACACUGGCGAGAAAAGCUGUAUGUAUUGAUAAGGUGCCCGUACCGCAAACCGACACAGGUAGAUGAGGAGAGAAUCCUAAGACCAGCGGGAGAAGUGUUGUUAAGGAACUCGGCAAAAUGACCCCGUAACUUCGGGAUAAGGGGAGCCUACGCGAGUAGGCCGCAGAGAAUAGUCUCAAGCGACUGUUUAGCAAAAACACAGGUCUAUGCUAAAUCGAAAGAUGAUGUAUAUGGGCUGACGCCUGCCCGGUGCUGGAAGGUUAAGGGGAAGUGUUAGAGCAAUCGAAGCACUGAACUUAAGCCCCAGUAAACGGCGGCCGUAACUAUAACGGUCCUAAGGUAGCGAAAUUCCUUGUCAGGUAAGUUCUGACCCGCACGAAUGGCGUAACGACUUGAGAGCUGUCUCAACAACAUACCCGGCGAAAUUGAAGUACUGGUAAAGAUGCCAGUUACCCGUGAUAAGACGGAAAGACCCCAUGGAGCUUUACUGUAACUUGAUAUUGAAUUUUUGUAUUACAUGUACAGGAUAGGUGGGAGACAGAGAACUAAUGCCGCCAGGUGUUAGGGAGUCGAUGUUGGGAUACCACUCUUGUAAUAUGAAGGUUCUAACCUGCACCCGUGAAUCCGGGUGGGGGACACUGUCAGGUGGACAGUUUGACUGGGGCGGUCGCCUCCUAAAAGGUAACGGAGGCGUUCAAAGGUUGGUUCAGCACGGACGGAAAUCGUGCAACGAGUGCAAACGCAUAAACCAGCCUAACUGCGAGACCGACAAGUCGAGCAGUAACGAAAGUUGGAGUUAGUGAUCCGGCGGUAUGAGAGUGGAAUUGCCGUCGCUCAACGGAUAAAAGCUACCCUGGGGAUAACAGGCUGAUCUCCCCC